Molecule: long non-coding RNA, 868 nt
Organism: Lolium perenne
Lineage: Eukaryota; Viridiplantae; Streptophyta; Magnoliopsida; Poales; Poaceae
Source: RefSeq, a predicted model, not a curated record
UCCCUAAAUACCAUUCCAAAAAAAGAAAGUAAACCACCGGGCGGGCAACAUGGAAGGGACAAAGAAGAAAGAAGCGAGUCCGGAGCAGAUAGUGCACGAACUCUCCGGCGUUGUACCUGCCCACUAUGUCAUACCGCCGCAGGACCGCCCGUCCGCUAGCGCAGGCGCUGCACCGAUACCCGUCAUCGACCUAGGCCGCCUGUCUGGGCCCAACCCAGAUGCCCAAGAGGCGGCAAAACUCCAGUCGGCGCUGGAGACAUGGGGCUUUUUCAUGGUGUGUAUGGUCGACAUAAGGAGACAUCCAGGCGAUGGUGAUGAUGAUUAUAACGUUGAUGAAGACGGAGAACUCGACUCCAUUGGUAACCCCUUAGUGGACCAUGCACGCUUUACCAAGCAAAGGACAUAACAACGACAGCCCGAGCAACACCAACCACCACCUGCUGGCAACAACGGUGGUGAUAACGGCGACAACGCUCACGCUGAAGGCUCUUAGAACCAAGAAAGAAAGUGCUUCGGAUCAGGCAAACUGUUUGGGAUAAAGUGAGGGACGCCGCGAGCGGCAAGUGUCUCAUGGGAGAUGAUGCGUCUCGAGAUGAACUCAUGGCGUAUCAGUAUAUCCUCGAUCGACAAAAGCUCAAGUUAAUGAAGCUGAAUGAGAUCUCGAUGCUCGCAAGGAGAAGGCCGACGCAUUGAGCAUCAGGCAAAUGCAAUUGAGUUCUACGGGAGGUGCAAGCUUCAGGGCAGGGAAUCAGCAGAAAAGAUCAACAUCUCGGUUCAGUUUUGUUCCGAAAAAUCAACGACGUAACUUGGUCAAAGACCUUGACUUAUCCUUCAUGUCAGUAGACUCGAGAGGAAACAUACAUCCGAA